CUUAUAACUUAGUAAAAUAGCCCUUUGUGUGACAUAAUUUUGGAACAGAGAACAUUUACAAAGGGAGGAUUCAUCUGAGUCUGGGUUGCUGCUAGGAAGACUUUCUGGAGGAGUGGAAAGCUGUCGUUCUCAGUCAGAGUCCGCUCCCAGGAAGACUGCUGCUGACCAGAGGCGAGCCGACCACUGGGAGCUGGCAGCUCUGCUCUGUCUGCUGAAAAAGAGAACCAUCUCCAAGUUGAGGAGGCUCCUCCAUCCAUGGGAUUCUCCAAGCAAGAAUACUGGAGUGGGUUGCCAUUUCCUUCUCCAGGGGAUCUUCCUGACCCAGGGAUCGAAACUGCGUCUCCUGCACUGGCAGGCUAAUUCUUCACCACUGAGCCACCAGUGAAGCCCCUGAUAAACAUUAUUUUUUUCUAAAUGCUAAUC
Bos taurus (domestic cattle) is the source of this 423-nucleotide long non-coding RNA. NCBI's taxonomy places the organism in Eukaryota, Metazoa, Chordata, Mammalia, Artiodactyla, Bovidae. The record is from Ensembl.